Molecule: non-coding RNA, 162 nt
Filed under: human gut metagenome
Description: Lysine riboswitch
Rfam family: Lysine riboswitch aptamer
About the family: Riboswitches are metabolite binding domains within certain messenger RNAs that serve as precision sensors for their corresponding targets. Allosteric rearrangement of mRNA structure is mediated by ligand binding, and this results in modulation of gene expression.
Source: RNAcentral
GAGUAGAGGUGCAAGUAUCAUCAGUAGGUCUUUGGACACUGUAAGGAGUGGAGGAAGGAGACCGAAAGGGAGAUUGCCGAAGAACGUAUCUGCCUUAAGGAUAGGUUUCUGGGCAUGCAGUGAAGAACUGUAUGACUGUCAUCGUAAGAUGGAGAGCUACGC